CAGUAGCCACGGGAAUACAGAGGGUGCGAGCGUUAAUCGGAUUUACUGGGCGUAAAGCGUGCGUAGGCGGCUUCUUAAGUCGGAUGUGAAAUCCCUGAGCUUAACUUAGGAAUUGCAUUCGAUACUGGGAAGCUAGAGUAUGGGAGAGGAUGGUAGAAUUCCAGGUGUAGCGGUGAAAUGCGUAGAGAUCUGGAGGAAUACCGAUGGCGAAGGCAGCCAUCUGGCCUAACACUGACGCUGAGGUACGAAAGCAUGGGGAGCAAACAGGAUUAGAUACCCGAGUAGUCCCUGUCUUUUAUAC
This 301-nucleotide ribosomal RNA is filed under the name uncultured bacterium. RNAcentral describes it as "partial 16S ribosomal RNA". It matches the Rfam family "Bacterial small subunit ribosomal RNA", at positions 509 to 809 of the family's 1533-position model. The record is from RNAcentral.